Molecule: ribosomal RNA, 253 nt
Filed under: uncultured bacterium
Lineage: Bacteria
Description: partial 16S ribosomal RNA
Rfam family: Bacterial small subunit ribosomal RNA
Source: RNAcentral
UACGUAGGUGGCAAGCGAUACUCGGAAUCACUAGGCGUAAAGCGCAGGCAGGCGGUUUGGUAAGUCUUUUGUGAAAGCUCCCGGCUUAACUGGGAGAGGUCAAGGGAAACUACCAGACUAGAGUGUGGUAGGGGAUACUGGAAUUCCUGGUGUAGCGGUGAAAUGCGUAGAUAUCAGGAGGAAUACCUAUGGCGAAAGCAGGUAUCUGGGCCAUCACUGACGCUGAGCUGCGAAAGCUAGGGGAGCAAACAGG